RNAcentral lists this ribosomal RNA (354 nucleotides) under Escherichia coli. RNAcentral describes it as "partial 23S ribosomal RNA". It matches the Rfam family "Bacterial large subunit ribosomal RNA", at positions 1 to 392 of the family's 2925-position model. The record is from RNAcentral. Lineage: Bacteria; Pseudomonadati; Pseudomonadota; Gammaproteobacteria; Enterobacterales; Enterobacteriaceae.
GUUAAGCGACUAAGCGUACACGGUGGAUGCCCUGGCAGUCAGAGGCGAUGAAGGACGUGCUAAUCUGCGAUAAGCGUCGGUAAGGUGAUAUGAACCGUUAUAACCGGCGAUUUCCGAAUGGGGAAACCCAGUGUGAUUCGUCACACUAUCAUUAACUGAAUCCAUAGGUUAAUGAGGCGAACCGGGGGAACUGAAACAUCUAAGUACCCCGAGGAAAAGAAAUCAACCGAGAUUCCCCCAGUAGCGGCGAGCGAACGGGGAGCAGCCCAGAGCCUGAAUCAGUGUGUGUGUUAGUGGAAGCGUCUGGAAAGGCGCGCGAUACAGGGUGACAGCCCCGUACACAAAAAUGCACAU